RNAcentral lists this transfer RNA (76 nucleotides) under Bacilli bacterium. RNAcentral describes it as "tRNA-Phe". It matches the Rfam family "tRNA". From Rfam's summary of the family: Transfer RNA (tRNA) molecules are approximately 80 nucleotides in length. Their secondary structure includes four short double-helical elements and three loops (D, anti-codon, and T loops). RNAcentral also lists the same sequence under 1 other name. The record is from RNAcentral. Lineage: Bacteria; Bacillati; Bacillota; Bacilli.
GGCCCGAUAGCUCAGCUGGCAGAGCACAGCACUGAAAAUGCUGGUGUCGGCAGUUCGACCCUGCCUUGGGCCACCA